Molecule: ribosomal RNA, 1016 nt
Filed under: uncultured bacterium
Lineage: Bacteria
Description: bacterial SSU rRNA
Rfam family: Bacterial small subunit ribosomal RNA
Source: RNAcentral
AGGAAUAUUGGUCAAUGGACGAGAGUCUGAACCAGCCAAGUAGCGUGAAGGAUGACUGCCCUAUGGGUUGUAAACUUCUUUUAUACGGGAAUAAAGUGAGGCACGUGUGCCUUUUUGUAUGUACCGUAUGAAUAAGGAUCGGCUAACUCCGUGCCAGCAGCCGCGGUAAUACGGAGGAUCCGAGCGUUAUCCGGAUUUAUUGGGUUUAAAGGGAGCGUAGGCGGACGCUUAAGUCAGUUGUGAAAGUUUGCGGCUCAACCGUAAAAUUGCAGUUGAUACUGGGCGCCUUGAGUGCAGCAUAGGUAGGCGGAAUUCGUGGUGUAGCGGUGAAAUGCUUAGAUAUCACGAAGAACUCCGAUUGCGAAGGCAGCUUACUGGACUGUAACUGACGCUGAUGCUCGAAAGUGUGGGUAUCAAACAGGAUUAGAUACCCUGGUAGUCCACACAGUAAACGAUGAAUACUCGCUGUUGGCGAUACACAGUCAGCGGCCAAGCGAAAGCAUUAAGUAUUCCACCUGGGGAGUACGCCGGCAACGGUGAAACUCAAAGGAAUUGACGGGGGCCCACACAAGCGGAGGAACAUGUGGUUUAAUUCGAUGAUACGCGAGGAACCUUACCCGGGCUUAAAUUGCAGUGGAAUGUAGUGGAAACAUUACAGCCUUCGGGCCGCUGUGAAGGUGCUGCAUGGUUGUCGUCAGCUCGUGCCGUGAGGUGUCGGCUUAAGUGCCAUAACGAGCGCAACCCUUAUCUAUAGUUACUAUCAGGUCAUGCUGAGGACUCUAUGGAGACUGCCGUCGUAAGAUGUGAGGAAGGUGGGGAUGACGUCAAAUCAGCACGGCCCUUACGUCCGGGGCUACACACGUGUUACAAUGGGGGGUACAGAAGGCAGCUACCUGGCGACAGGAUGCUAAUCCCUAAAACCUCUCUCAGUUCGGAUUGGAGUCUGCAACCCGACUCCAUGAAGCUGGAUUCGCUAGUAAUCGCGCAUCAGCCACGGCGCGGUGAAUACGUUCCCG